AGGACAUGGGCGGAACCGAUCCAUUAUGCCGGUGUGUGAAGAGGCUUGGGUUGUAAAGCAUUUAAGCGACGAGGAUGCUACCUGGAUUAAUACUCUGGGAUAGUGGACGUUACUCGACAGAAUAAGCACCAGGCUAACUCUGUGCCAGCAGCCGCGGUAAUACAGAGGGUGCGAGCGUUAAUCGGAUUUACUGGGCGUAAAGCGUGCGUAGGCGGCUUUUUAAGUCGGAUGUGAAAUCCCCGAGCUUAACUUGGGAAUUGCAUUCGAUACUGGGAAGCUAGAGUAUGGGAGAGGAUGGUAGAAUUCCAGGUGUAGCGGUGAAAUGCGUAGAGAUCUGGAGGAAUACCGAUGGCGAAGGCAGCCAUCUGGCCUAAUACUGACGCUGAGGUACGAAAGCAUGGGGAGCAAACAGGAUUAGAUACCCUGGUAGUCCAUGCCGUAAACGAUGUCUACUAGCCGUUGGGGCCUUUGAGGCUUUAGUGGCGCAGCUAACGCGAUAAGUAGACCGCCUGGGGAGUACGGUCGCAAGACUAAAACUCAAAUGAAUUGACGGGGGCCCGCACAAGCGGUGGAGCAUGUGGUUUAAUUCGAUGCAACGCGAAGAAACUU
This 609-nucleotide ribosomal RNA is filed under the name uncultured bacterium. RNAcentral describes it as "bacterial SSU rRNA". It matches the Rfam family "Bacterial small subunit ribosomal RNA", at positions 365 to 972 of the family's 1533-position model. The record is from RNAcentral.